Molecule: ribosomal RNA, 253 nt
Filed under: uncultured bacterium
Lineage: Bacteria
Description: partial 16S ribosomal RNA
Rfam family: Bacterial small subunit ribosomal RNA
Source: RNAcentral
AACGUAGGGUGCGAGCGUUAAUCGGAAUUACUGGGCGUAAAGCGUGCGCAGGCGGUUGUGCAAGACAGAUGUGAAAUCCCCGGGCUUAACCUGGGAACUGCAUUUGUGACUGCACGGCUAGAGUGUGUCAGAGGGGGGUAGAAUUCCACGUGUAGCAGUGAAAUGCGUAGAUAUGUGGAGGAAUACCGAUGGCGAAGGCAGCCCCCUGGGAUAACACUGACGCUCAUGCACGAAAGCGUGGGGAGCAAACAGG